This 250-nucleotide unclassified non-coding RNA is filed under the name plant metagenome. Its description in RNAcentral is "partial contains small subunit ribosomal RNA, internal transcribed spacer 1, and 5.8S ribosomal RNA". The record is from RNAcentral.
GUAGGUGAACCUGCGGAAGGAUCAUUACCGAGAGAGGGGCUUCGUGCUCCCGGGGGUUUCGGCCCCUAACUCUUCACCCUUUGCGUAUUUACCUUUGUUGCUUUGGCGGGCCCGAGAGCCCUCUCGCGCCGACUCUUCGGCCGGCGAGUGUCCGUCAGAGGCCCAUUUAAAUUCUAUUCAUUAGAGACGUCUGAGUUCCAACAACAAUAAGUAAAAACUUUCAACAACGGAUCUCUUGGUUCCAGCAUCG